GACGAACGCUGGCGGCGUGCCUAACACAUGCAAGUCGAACGGGACCAGGGGCAACUCUGGUUCAGUGGCGGACGGGUGCGUAACACGUGAGGAACAUGACCUUCGGCGGGGGAGUAGCCGGCCCAACGGCCGGGUAAUACCGCGUACGACCACAUGGGGACAUCCCUGAGUGGUGAAAGCAGCAAUGCGCCGAUGGAGUGCCUCGCGGCCUAUCAGCUAGUUGGUGAGGUAACGGCNCACCAAGGCGACGACGGGUAGCUGGUCUGAGAGGAUGGCCAGCCACAUUGGGACUGAGACACGGCCCAGACUCCUACGGGAGGCAGCAGUGGGGAAUAUUGCGCAAUGGACGAAAGUCUGACGCAGCGACGCCGCGUGUGGGAUGACGGUC
This 388-nucleotide ribosomal RNA is filed under the name uncultured bacterium. RNAcentral's name for it is "bacterial SSU rRNA". It matches the Rfam family "Bacterial small subunit ribosomal RNA", at positions 28 to 416 of the family's 1533-position model. The record is from RNAcentral.